Rosa rugosa (rugosa rose) is the source of this 937-nucleotide long non-coding RNA. RefSeq lists it as uncharacterized. The transcript has 2 exons. The record is from RefSeq and is a predicted model, not a curated record. NCBI's taxonomy places the organism in Eukaryota, Viridiplantae, Streptophyta, Magnoliopsida, Rosales, Rosaceae.
CCUGAGGCUUAAAAAGCGGAAAUCAGCUCCUAAAUUGAGUGGGUUUCGACGAUAAGGCGACGAGGCUUCUGAGGCGGUGACCAAGGUUCCAAAAGGAAACAAGCUUAUGCAAAUCUCUUAGAACCCAUUAGCUUUCUCAAGGAUUUGGCUGUAAAGGAGACUAUUUUCGCACUUGGAGUUCGAUUUGCAGACUUCGAGUUCGAUUAUUGGAGUUCGAUUCCCAGACUUGGAGUUGGAAUAUGCCCAGUAUAGUUUACACUGUCCUAGAAUAUUGUCAAAGAUGCAUCUUUAGGUUUCUCGAAUUAGCAGUUCUGUUGGGUUCCCGGGCUCUCUUGCUCCCAGGUUAUGAUGGCGGUGGGUAUUGUGAAUUUGUGAUGUCGGGGAUACUCAUGUUCUGAUUCAAUCUGUUUUCUGUCCUGUCCUUUACUACUUUUAGCAACCGAUCAUACAUGCAUGGAAAUUGGUUUGGUUCGGUACUAAUUAAAGUCGAGUAUUAUUUUCUCUGUAGAUGUGUAAAAGCGGCGAAUUUGAUUCAUCAUCUUGAUUAUCCUUCAUUCCUUCUGCAAUUGUGAAUUAGAAUAUAGUAGAAUCCAUCUCAAUGGAUAUAACAGUUACAUUCAAGCCAGUAGCUAAGUUCAGGCCAAAAUAGAGACCCCAUAAUUCUGCAUUAAUAACUUGGCCAGCAGGUUAGCAGCAAACCUGCCACGAAUGAUACCACCAGGGCACCAGGCCCAACUUUAGUGAGCUAGAAGAACGAUUAUCACUGAAGUUCAGGUUACCAGUAUAACAGGAAGCUUUUGUGUGAAGGCGAGCAAUAAGCCAAUCACUGAAGUUCUGGUUACCAGUUCAUUUAAGCUAAUCACUAAAUGGUGAUGGUGUAUUACUUGUACUGUGUUUCAUCUUUACUUAAUAAUCUUGACAUAUUCUUGGUGGUUUA